GGUUACGUAGCUCAGCGGUUAGAGCGUUCGCCUGUUAAGCGAAGGGUCGCUGGUUCAAAUCCAGCCGUGAUCGCAA
This 76-nucleotide transfer RNA is filed under the name Cronobacter phage vB_CsaM_GAP32. RNAcentral's name for it is "tRNA-Asn". It matches the Rfam family "tRNA". Rfam says of the family: Transfer RNA (tRNA) molecules are approximately 80 nucleotides in length. Lineage: Duplodnaviria; Heunggongvirae; Uroviricota; Caudoviricetes. The record is from RNAcentral.